UACGGAGGGUGCAAGCGUUAUCCGGAUUCACUGGGUUUAAAGGGUGCGUAGGCGGACAGGUAAGUCAGUGGUGAAAUCUCUGGGCUUAACCCAGAAACUGCCGUUGAUACUAUUUGUCUUGAAUAUCCUGGAGGUAGGCGGAAUAUGUCAUGUAGCGGUGAAAUGCUUAGAUAUGACAUAGAACACCAAUUGCGAAGGCAGCUGACUACGGGAGCAUUGACACUGAGGCACGAAAGCGUGGGGAUCAAACAGG
Molecule: ribosomal RNA, 253 nt
Filed under: uncultured bacterium
Lineage: Bacteria
Description: partial 16S ribosomal RNA
Rfam family: Bacterial small subunit ribosomal RNA
Source: RNAcentral